GAUGAACGCUGGCGGCGUGCUUAACACAUGCAAGUCGAACGGUGAAGCCCAGCUUGCUGGGUGGAUCAGUGGCGAACGGGUGAGUAACACGUGAGGAACCUGUCCUCGGACUCAGGGAUAACGGCUGGAAACGGCUAGCUAAUACCUGAUGCCGUCGUAUCAUCGCAUGGUGGUGUGACGUAAAGAAGUCUCGGGUUCGG
This 200-nucleotide ribosomal RNA is filed under the name uncultured bacterium. RNAcentral describes it as "partial 16S ribosomal RNA". It matches the Rfam family "Bacterial small subunit ribosomal RNA", at positions 28 to 223 of the family's 1533-position model. The record is from RNAcentral.